GUAGGGUGGUUUUACAGGUGCCACAUCCUCCCAUCCUCGGAGGAUUUGACCUUGACCGGGUCAUAUGGCCAAAGGUCAGAUGAUGCAAUGUGCAAAGGUCAGAUGAUGCAAUAGCCUGGAAUGUGUAGCCUUAGGCUAUAAUCCUCCUUUACCUAUGUAGGAGGAUUAUAGCCUAAGGGGAGGACCACCCCAGAACGGCAUAGUCAAAAUGCGCCAUAGGUCAAAUCCUCUUGAUGGAAUUUGAUAAAUCGCGGUCAGAAAGGGAGGAGUUAAUUGAUAUCAACCUAUACACAGUACCUAUAUUUAGAAAAUGUCGCACAAGUCACGACAAGUCUAUGACCUCAGCGGUGAUGUGUAUAUAUGCCCGACAGACAUUCAAAGUCAUUAAAUGGCUCAGGAGAUCAUCAAUCGGAUAGUCACGGAGGACCUCACGCUAACAAGUAUAUCACACAGUAAGGUAGACUGUCGUCUAGGGAUUACACAAGAAGUCAUCUUUAAAAGAGUUAAAGGUGAGCUGAAGAUCUGUUUAAGAGAAGAUGGAAAGAGAAUACAGAUAACUGGAGACUAUUUUAGGAAGAUACUGUUUCUGUCGGAAAGUUUACAGAGCAUAUGUGAUUUUAUGCAUUGACAUGUCAGAUAUUGUAACAGAUUGUAUCCGUCAUUAUCACAUACGACCAAUACAUCACUCUAUGAUUAAAUGUGAGGAUCGACUACAAACUUUUGUAAACUGGCCACAACAAAUAAUCCAAACUCCGAAUCAGCUCGCUCGAAACGGAUUUUUCUAUUCAGGACAAAGUGAUAAAGUCACCUGUUUUAUGUGCGGUGUACAAUUAGGAUCCUGGACAUUUAACGAUUCUAUCACAACCGAACAUAGAAGAUGGUCGAAUGAUUGUGUAUACCUACAAAUGGCAUUAUCAUAACAUGGGAGGUAUUGAUUUUUAUUUUGGUUCACUCAUGCGACAUUGACUCACUAAUAGAUGAAGGUUGGUCUUACAUCAAUGGUGAAGAAAUAAAAAUUGAACAUAUUGCCGAGCUCUUUAACAUAUUGGAUAGACUAUGGAAAGAAGACAACUAUAUCGACGGUGAUUAUAUAAGACUGUUAUUUAUAUUCAACGAACACAUAGGUGCAGAAAUAUGUUCAUAAUGGAUACAUCCAAGAAGAGACUUUAUUCCUAUAUGAGAAAUCAAAUCGAGGAAAAAGCCUAUAAAAGGAUUGUGAAAAACUUACUUUGUCUAGCUUACGCAAUACAUGUUAAAACAAUCAUAUCGAGAUUGUUUGUAUGUACAGGAUGUGCGGAAGAGCAAGCUAACCAGGAAGGACAUGAUUGUGUUAUGCUUGAUAGUGAAGACAUAGUCGGUCUGUAUUUCGACGAAGCCUUAUCAACCAUCAACCAGGUAGAAGUGGAGAAACUGUGGCACGAAUUUACUAUUCAGACUUGUAUACCACCACACGUGUUGCAACAUUUGAUGGAAGAUAAACGUUUCUGCUCACAUGAUUAUGUGAAACAACAUUUCAGCGGAAGAAUUUUGAAGUUGACGAAAAAAAUAGACAUUGUCAAUUUAAAAUUGACUGUGGAACAAUUCGAAAUAUUGUUUGAUUAACUAUGGGGGAUUCAAAGGUUGAUAAAAUGGACUCUUUGUUUCAUUUUGUGCAUGCUUUCCAUUUACACCAACAAUCAUUUGAUAUAGUAAAACAUUCUAUAGAAGAUGUAGUAAAACAUUUCAUAGAAGAAGUAAAUUGUUGGAAUGUUCCCGACGAAAUCAGAAAAAAUUAUAUUUCAAAUGUGUCAAGCUCCGAAUGGAGAAAUAUGGAGCUGAAAAAACUUUGUCGAAGAAAACAGAUCGAUCAAAUGAUUCAAUCAAUGCAACGUUUAGAGAAUCGCUUCAUAAAUCCAUGAAAUCUGUAUCCAUUUAUGUAGAGACACCAUUAUCGUCAAGUAUAGUAUAUAUAUAUUAAAAUUAUUAACCAUC
Molecule: long non-coding RNA, 1971 nt
Organism: Pecten maximus
Lineage: Eukaryota; Metazoa; Mollusca; Bivalvia; Pectinida; Pectinidae
Exons: 2
Source: RefSeq, a predicted model, not a curated record